CCUACGGGAGGCAGCAGUGGGGAAUAUUGGACAAUGGGGGAAACCCUGAUCCAGCGAUGCCGCGUGAGUGAAGAAGGCCUUAGGGUUGUAAAGCUCUUUCAGUAGUGAAGAUGAUGACGGUAGCUACAGAAGAAGGACCGGCUAACUCCGUGCCAGCAGCCGCGGUAAUACGGAGGGUUCAAGCGUUGUUCGGAAUUACUGGGCGUAAAGAGCGCGUAGGCGGCGCAGAUAGUCAGAUGUGAAAGCCCUGGGCUUAACCCAGGAGGUGCAUUUGAUACUACUGUGCUAGAGUACCGAAGAGGUAAGUGGAAUUCCUAGUGUAGAGGUGAAAUUCGUAGAUAUUAGGAGGAACACCAGUGGCGAAGGCGGCUUACUGGUCGGUAACUGACGCUGAGGCGCGAAAGCGUGGGGAGCAAACAGGAUUAGAUACCCUGGUAGUCCACGCCGAAACGAUGAGUGCUAGAUGUUGGGUCGAAUGGCUCGAGNACGCAGCUAACGCAAUAAGCUUUUCCGCAGGUWAGUACGGCGCAAUA
This 533-nucleotide ribosomal RNA is filed under the name uncultured bacterium. RNAcentral's name for it is "bacterial SSU rRNA". It matches the Rfam family "Bacterial small subunit ribosomal RNA", at positions 338 to 893 of the family's 1533-position model. The record is from RNAcentral.